CAAAUUAUUUCUUUAAUUGAGAAUUUCAUUUACGUUGAUAACUUUGUCGUUUAGAUCGACAUAAUUUGA
This 69-nucleotide transfer RNA is filed under the name Cryptocercus punctulatus (brown-hooded cockroach). RNAcentral describes it as "tRNA-Val". Lineage: Eukaryota; Metazoa; Arthropoda; Insecta; Blattodea; Cryptocercidae. The record is from RNAcentral.